ACUCAAAGGAAUUGACGGGGACCCGCACAAGCAGUGGAGUAUGUGGUUUAAUUCGAUGCAACGCGAAGAACCUUACCUGGGCUUGACAUGUUUAGGACGACAUCAGAAAUGGUGUUUCCCCGCAAGGGGCCUUUUCACAGGUGCUGCAUGGCUGUCGUCAGCUCGUGCCGUGAGGUGUUGGGUUAAGUCCCGCAACGAGCGCAACCCUUGUCGUUAGUUGCCAACACGUAAUGGUGGGCACUCUAGCGAGACUGCCUCGGUUAACGAGGAGGAAGGUGAGGAUGACGUCAAGUCCGCAUGGCCCUUAUGCCCAGGGCUACACACGUACUACAAUGGUCGGUACAGAAGGCAGCGAAGUCGUGAGAUGGAGCUAAUCCCAAAAGCCGGCCCCAGUUCAGAUUGUAGUCUGCAACUCGACUACAUGAAGAUGGAAUUGCUAGUAAUGGCGAGUCAGCAUUAUCGCCGUGAAUACGUUCCCGGGUCUUGUACACACCGCCCGU
RNAcentral lists this ribosomal RNA (500 nucleotides) under uncultured bacterium. RNAcentral's name for it is "partial 16S ribosomal RNA". It matches the Rfam family "Bacterial small subunit ribosomal RNA", at positions 899 to 1397 of the family's 1533-position model. The record is from RNAcentral.